RNAcentral lists this RNase P RNA (286 nucleotides) under Haemophilus sputorum HK 2154. RNAcentral's name for it is "Bacterial RNase P class A". It matches the Rfam family "Bacterial RNase P class A", at positions 43 to 351 of the family's 367-position model. From Rfam's summary of the family: Ribonuclease P (RNase P) is a ubiquitous endoribonuclease, found in archaea, bacteria and eukarya as well as chloroplasts and mitochondria. Its best characterised activity is the generation of mature 5'-ends of tRNAs by cleaving the 5'-leader elements of precursor-tRNAs. The record is from RNAcentral. Lineage: Bacteria; Pseudomonadati; Pseudomonadota; Gammaproteobacteria; Pasteurellales; Pasteurellaceae.
GAGGAAAGUCCGAGCUACACAGGGCAGAGUGCCAGAUAACGUCUGGGCGGCGUGAGCCGACGACCAGUGCAACAGAGAGCAGACCGCCGCGUAAGCGGUAAGGGUGAAAGGGUGCGGUAAGAGCGCACCGCGUGAGUGGUAACAUUUCACGGCAGGGUAAACUCCACUCGUAGCAAGACCAAAUAGGAACUCAAUGGAUGGCCCGUCCAGAGUUCGGGUAGGUUGCUUGAGCACAAUAGCGAUGUUGUGCCUAGAGGAAUGAUUGUCCACGACAGAACUCGGCUUA